Molecule: ribosomal RNA, 1020 nt
Filed under: Phocaeicola vulgatus
Lineage: Bacteria; Pseudomonadati; Bacteroidota; Bacteroidia; Bacteroidales; Bacteroidaceae
Description: Bacteroides vulgatus partial 23S ribosomal RNA
Rfam family: Bacterial large subunit ribosomal RNA
Source: RNAcentral
GUAAACGGCGGCCGUAACUAUAACGGUCCUAAGGUAGCGAAAUUCCUUGUCGGGUAAGUUCCGACCUGCACGAAUGGCGUAAUGAUGGCCAGGCUGUCUCCACCCGAGACUCAGUGAAAUUGAACUCGCUGUGAAGAUGCAGUGUACCCGCGGCAAGACGGAAAGACCCCGUGAACCUUUACUAUAGCUUGACACUGAACAUUGAGCCUUGAUGUGUAGGAUAGGUGGGAGGCUUUGAAGUGUGGACGCCAGUCUGCAUGGAGCCGGCCUUGAAAUACCACCCUUUAAUGUUUGAUGUUCUAACGUUGGCCCCUGAUCGGGGUUGCGGACAGUGUCUGGUGGGUAGUUUGACUGGGGCGGUCUCCUCCUAAAGAGUAACGGAGGAGCACGAAGGUUGGCUAAUCCUGGUCGGACAUCAGGAGGUUAGUGCAAUGGCAUAAGCCAGCUUGACUGCGAGCGUGACGGCGCGAGCAGGUGCGAAAGCAGGUCAUAGUGAUCCGGUGGUUCUGAAUGGAAGGGCCAUCGCUCAACGGAUAAAAGGUACUCCGGGGAUAACAGGCUGAUACCGCCCAAGAGUUCAUAUCGACGGCGGUGUUUGGCACCUCGAUGUCGGCUCAUCACAUCCUGGGGCUGAAGUAGGUCCCAAGGGUAUGGCUGUUCGCCAUUUAAAGUGGUACGCGAGCUGGGUUUAGAACGUCGUGAGACAGUUCGGUCCCUAUCUGCCGUGGGCGCUGGAGAACUGAGGGGGGCUGCUCCUAGUACGAGAGGACCGGAGUGGACGCAUCACUGGUGUUCGGGUUGUCAUGCCAAUGGCACUGCCCGGUAGCUAAAUGCGGAAGAGAUAAGUGCUGAAAGCAUCUAAGCACGAAACUUGCCCCGAGAUGAGUUCUCCCUGAGACUUAGAGUCUCCUGAAGGAACGUUGAAGACGACGACGUUGAUAGGCCGGGUGUGUAAGCGCAGCGAUGCGUUGAGCUAACCGGUACUAAUGAACCGUGAGGCUUAACCUUACAACGCCGAAG